CACAAUUUCACUCCUCUGCAUUCACCAAAUGUCCAAUUACAUAUCCUCCCUGCCUGGACCUUCAAAACAAUAUAAAACUGAAUGAAGGCAAUGAAAGAAGUCACAGGAGGAUUUUUGCAGAGCUUCCAUCCAGUUCAGAAACAAAGCAAUUCAAUACAUGUCUUCAAGAUUUCUAAAGGCAAUGACUUAAUUCUAAGUUCCAUGAAAGCAGGCAUUGUGUGAAUUUCUCCUGCAUCUGGAACUGGCCUAGCACAGCAAUAGAACCGUGGAGAAUUGCCAAGAUUGCUGACUAGAUGUGGCCAGGAGAAAUAUCUCCCACUGAGAGACUGGGACAUUGGAAAGACUAUAACACACCUCUGAGUAGAUCUUCUGAUGGAAGGCAUUAAGAGUGGAUGCAGAGAGGAUGCAGAUGCUGGGCUGAAGAGAGAGGAAGCUGGGAACCCUGCAUAGUGUGGCUGAGCCUCAGGACUUGUACCUGGCCCUCAGAGACUCCUGGGGGAAGGGUGAGUUUACAGGUGAGGAGUGGCCCGCUCUCACCAUGGACCCAUUCCGGUAGGUCCCUCAACCUCUAUGGGCAUCUGAGAUGGUAGGAAAAGCUGCUCAGAGAGGUCAUAUGGGCAGGACUCCAGCCUAUGCAGAGCCCAGAGUGGUGGGAGAACAGCUGCAGUGAAGCACAUCCAGGGACGUCCAUCUUCCAAGGCUCACUAUGCUUCUCCAGGAUACUUUAGCCUCAAUAUGACUGUUAGAGCUAGACAAAGCAGGGCAGUCUUGCUCGUGGGAUGUGGCCUGAUGCCUGAUCUGAUGCUGUGUUACCUGCUGGCCUCUCUUGGGGAGCCAGUCUGGUCGUGCUUGCUUGAAGUGCAGCCUUGGAUACCCAACAGGGGUGCUUCUAGGAACCCUCAUCAUAGCUCCUUCAAUGGCAGACUGUGCCUGAUUAUCAGAGAACUCCAGCAGACCAGGCCCCACUUACAUGAACCAGCCCACACACAGCUUCACCCCAUCACAGCCCUCCCGUAAUGCUUUACUGACAUGAAUUUGCUCAUGGCCAUCCUCCAUCGCUGUGCUUGUAUGAGUCCACCUUGUUGCUUCCCCCGGCCAUCAACAUGCAGGUUCACUCCUGUGCCAGCACUAAUGUGUGCACAGAUGCUGGCAACACUGCUCUCCCCCCAACCCCCGCCACCACCGCCACCAAUGCUGCCAGUGUGAAUGCAUACAUGGAUACCAGUAACUCCAUCUCUGCUAGUGUACUGCCCUUGCUGUGCUGUCAUCACUGGCAUAAACAUGUGCAGGAACACCACCUCCCUGCUCCCACAGUUGCCCUUCGCAAGCCAACAUGUGUGCAUCUUGCCACAUUGCUGUGGCUGCUGGUAUGCAUGAGCCAGCAUGGAUCCCACUGCCACUAAUCCAGUGACAUGCUUUGACCAGCACCCCUCCCCAUCAGAGUGUGGUGGCCAGUGGACAAGAACACCUCAGUCUCUCCAGUGCAGCAGCUUCCUAACCUUGAGGGGCCAGAGAACAAGGCCGGGGGCCCAGUACCAGCCUCCCAGAGUUAAAACAUGCAGCCCAGCAGUGUAGAGCUGAGACUUGGCUUUCUAAAAUCUUCCAGAAAUGAAGCCUGUUGACUGAACCCGUCAUAUGCCACAAUCUAACUCCCAGGGCAUCAAAGAAGAUAAAAGCCAAAAUCCCCAUCCAAAGGACAGUAAUAUCAAAGAUGAGAAAGAACCAGUGCAAAAAAAUCUGGCAAUUCAAAAAGCCAGAGUAUCUUUUUACCUCCAAAUGAUCACUCCAUUUCCUCAGUGAUGGUUCUUAACUAGGCUGAAAAGACAGAAAUGACAGAUAUAGACUUCAGAAUAUGAAUAGGAAAGAUGAUCAAGAUUUGGGAGAAGAUUGAAACCCAAUCCUAGGAAACUAAGGAAUACAAUAAUGCAAUACAGGAACUGAAAGAUGAAAUGGCCAUUUUAAGAAAGAACCAAACUGAUGUGAUAGAGUGACAGAGCUGAAAAACUCACUUUGAGAAUUUCACAAUACAACUGCAAGUAUUAACAGCAGAGUAGACCAUGCUGACGAAGGACUCUCAGGUCUUGAAGACCAGUUCUCCAAAGUUAACUUGGUCAGACAAAAAUAAAGAAAAAAGGAUAUAAAAAGAAUAAAUAAAACCUCCAAGAAACAUGAGAUUAUGUAAAGAGAUCAAAUUUCGGAUGCAUUGGCAUCCUUGAAAAUGAGGGAGAGAAAGCAUGCAACUUGGAAAACAUAUUUCAAGAUAUUGUCAAUGAAAAAUUCCCCAACCUUGCUAGAGAGUCCAAUAUUCAAAUCCAGGAAAUGAAGAGAACGCCUGCAAGAUAUUAUACAAGAUCAUCAUUCGCAAGACACAGAGUCACCUGAUUCUCUGAGGUUGAAAUGAAAGAAAAAAUGUUAAAGUCAGCUAAAGAGAAGGGACAGGUUGCUUACAAAGGCAACCCCAUCAAGCUAACAGCAGACCUUUCAGCAGAAAUCCUACAAGCCAGAAGAGAUUGGGGGCUUAGAUUCAGUAUUUUUAAAGAAAAUAAAAUCCAAAUAAGAAUUUCAUAUUCAGCCAAACUAAGCUUCAUAAGCAAAGGAGAAAUAAGAUCCUUUUCAGAUAAGCAAAUACUAAAAGAAUUACCAUCAGAUAUGCCUUUACAUGAGGUUGUGAAGGGAGUACUAAAUAUGGAAAGGAAAGAUCAUUAUCAGCAACCACAAAAACACACUUAAGCACAUAGACCAUUGAUACUAUAAAGCAACUACACAUCAAGUCUGUAUAAUACCAGCUAAAAACAUGAUGACAGGAUUAAAUCUGCACUAUCAAUAUUAACCUUAAAUGGCAAUGGGCUAAAUGCAUCAAUUAAAAGGCACAGCAUCGCAAGCUGGAUAAAGAAGCAAAAUUCAUUGGUGUGCUGUCUUCAAGAGAUCCAGCUCACAUGAAACAACAUGGAUAGGCUCAAAAUAAAGAGAUAGAGAAAAUCAACCAAGCAAACGAGAAACACACAACCAUAAAAAAAAUGUAUUCAUGUCCUUUGUGGUGACAUGGUUGGUGCUGGAGGUCAUAAUCCUGAGCAAACUAAUCAGGACAGAAAACCAAGUACUGCAUGUUGUCACUUAUAAGUGGAAGCUAAACAUUGAAUGAAUACACAUGGACACAAAGAAGAAAAUAACAGACCCUGAGGCCUACUUGAGGGUGGAGAAUGGGAGGAGAGUGAGGAUUGAAAAACUAUCUAUUGGGCACUAUGCUUAUUACCUUGGUGAAAAAAUAAUCUGUGCAGCAAAUCCCUGUAACAUGCAAUUUACCUAUAAUAAGCCUGUGCAUGUACCUCUGAACCUAAAAUGAAAGUUACAAAAAGAAAAAAAAAGAAACUAUACAAAACAUAUUUGUAGGAAAAAUGAGUAAAGUGAAUUCAGUGUUAAACUCUUUGAUGAUUAUUAUUAAAAUUAUGUAAAUCUAUGUAAUUUAAGUAGACAUUUUGCCAAAUGUGGUUUCAGUGAAGACUUUUAAUAUCAUGGUAUUUUUGUUUUCAUCUUACGGGAUCUUUUUGAGUAAUAAAAAUAAUAUUUUCAAACAACUACAAAAAUAUAUUAGUAAACAUUAUAGGAUCUAAACAACACUAUUUGCCAUCUUGAUCUAGUUGGCAUUUGUAGAACAAGAAUCCAACAACUCCAGAAUAUACUUUUCCACCCUAAAUACACAUAGUACAUUCACCAAAAUAAACCAGGAACUUCAGUCAGGAAUGAGAUAGAUGUCAUGACUUGAUGUUUAAGAAGAAUCUAUUACCACCAAAGCAAUCACUUUGCAAAUUGAUAAAACCUAUAUUUACAUUUUGAAAUAUUUCCUAAUUUAUUAAAUUGUUGUAAGAAAAGUGAAUUAAAUAUAAAGUGCCACAGCAAGACCUGUAA
Long non-coding RNA from Gorilla gorilla gorilla (western lowland gorilla), 3906 nucleotides. RefSeq lists it as uncharacterized. NCBI's taxonomy places the organism in Eukaryota, Metazoa, Chordata, Mammalia, Primates, Hominidae. The transcript is spliced from 3 exons. The record is from RefSeq and is a predicted model, not a curated record.